RNAcentral lists this unclassified non-coding RNA (277 nucleotides) under fungal sp. RNAcentral's name for it is "partial internal transcribed spacer region". The stretch from base 1 to 46 matches the Rfam family "Eukaryotic small subunit ribosomal RNA", at positions 1786 to 1831 of the family's 1831-position model. Lineage: Eukaryota; Fungi. The record is from RNAcentral.
AAGUCGUAACAAGGUUUCCGUAGGUGAACCUGCGGAAGGAUCAUCAACAAUUACGUGUUCUACACGUAUACCUUUUUACCCCCAUGAACUUUUCUACUAAUUUCCAAAGUACAACUUUGAGAUCUGAAUGUGCUUGUCUUGAGAGAGAGGCUGUCUCUUUUGUCCUCCGGGCAAAAAAAGAUAUCCUUUUCUUUUCAACGCAAUUUGUACGUUCUUUCAAGAAGUUUUACUUUAUUCAAAUUUUAUACAACUCUUAGCAACGGAUAUCUCGGUUCUC